UACGUAGGUGACCAGCGUUGUCCGGAUUUACUGGGCGUAAAGAGCGCGCAGGCGGUCGUUCAAGUCGAGUGUGAAAGCCCCCGGCUCAACUGGGGAGGGUCAUUCGAUACUGAUCGACUGGAAGGCAGGAGAGGGAAGCGGAAUUCCCGGUGUAGUGGUGAAAUGCGUAGAUAUCGGGAGGAACACCAGUGGCGAAGGCGGCUUCCUGGCCUGUUCUUGACGCUGAGGCGCGACAGCGUGGGGAGCAAACAGG
This 253-nucleotide ribosomal RNA is filed under the name uncultured bacterium. Its description in RNAcentral is "partial 16S ribosomal RNA". It matches the Rfam family "Bacterial small subunit ribosomal RNA", at positions 524 to 776 of the family's 1533-position model. The record is from RNAcentral.